CAGUAGCCGCGGUAAUACGUAGGGCGCGAGCGUUGUCCGGAAUCAUUGGGCGUAAAGCGCGUGUAGGCGGCUGGGUCAGUCUGUUGUGAAAGUCCAGGGCUUAACCCUGGGAUGUCGGCGGAUACUGCUCAGCUGGAGUACGGGAGGGGCGAGCGGAAUUCCUGGUGUAGCGGUGGAAUGCGCAGAUAUCAGGAGGAACACCUAUGGCGAAGGCAGCUCGCUGGAACGUUACUGACGCUGAGACGCGAAAGCGUGGGGAGCAAACAGGAUUAGAUACCCCCGUAGUCCCUGUCUCUUAUAC
This 301-nucleotide ribosomal RNA is filed under the name uncultured bacterium. RNAcentral describes it as "partial 16S ribosomal RNA". It matches the Rfam family "Bacterial small subunit ribosomal RNA", at positions 509 to 807 of the family's 1533-position model. The record is from RNAcentral.